UUCCAGACUCCUACGGGAGGCAGCAGUGGGGAAUAUUGCACAAUGGGGGAAACCCUGAUGCAGCGACGCCGCGUGAGUGAAGAAGUAUUUCGGUAUGUAAAGCUCUAUCAGCAGGGAAGAAAAUGACGGUACCUGACUAAGAAGCCCCGGCUAACUACGUGCCAGCAGCCGCGGUAAUACGUAGGGGGCAAGCGUUAUCCGGAUUUACUGGGUGUAAAGGGAGCGCAGGCGGCGCGUUAAGCCUGGUGUGAAAGCCCGCGGCCCAACCGCGGGACUGCAUUGGGAACUGGCGCGCUGGAGUGCCGGAGGGGUAGGCGGAAUUCCUAGUGUAGCGGUGAAAUGCGUAGAUAUCAGGAGGAACACCGGUGGCGAAGGCGGCCUGCUGGACUGCAACUGACGUUGAGGCCCGAAAGCGUGGGGAGCAAACAGGAUUAGAUACCCCAGUA
RNAcentral lists this ribosomal RNA (446 nucleotides) under uncultured bacterium. RNAcentral describes it as "bacterial SSU rRNA". It matches the Rfam family "Bacterial small subunit ribosomal RNA", at positions 329 to 792 of the family's 1533-position model. The record is from RNAcentral.